RNAcentral lists this ribosomal RNA (279 nucleotides) under uncultured Pseudomonadales bacterium. RNAcentral's name for it is "partial 16S ribosomal RNA". It matches the Rfam family "Bacterial small subunit ribosomal RNA", at positions 502 to 780 of the family's 1533-position model. Lineage: Bacteria; Pseudomonadati; Pseudomonadota; Gammaproteobacteria; Pseudomonadales. The record is from RNAcentral.
CUUGUGCCAGCAGCCGCGGUAAUACAGAGGGUGCAAGCGUUAAUCGGAAUUACUGGGCGUAAAGCGCGCGUAGGUGGUUCGUUAAGUUGGAUGUGAAAUCCCCGGGCUCAACCUGGGAACUGCAUUCAAAACUGACGAGCUAGAGUAUGGUAGAGGGUGGUGGAAUUUCCUGUGUAGCGGUGAAAUGCGUAGAUAUAGGAAGGAACACCAGUGGCGAAGGCGACCACCUGGACUGAUACUGACACUGAGGUGCGAAAGCGUGGGGAGCAAACAGGAUUA